This is a small nucleolar RNA of Dermacentor andersoni, 129 nucleotides long. RefSeq annotates it as small nucleolar RNA SNORA5. The record is from RefSeq and is a predicted model, not a curated record. Lineage: Eukaryota; Metazoa; Arthropoda; Arachnida; Ixodida; Ixodidae.
UGUCAGCAAAUUUACCUCCGUGUCAUGACAUCAUGACACUGCCAAUGACAUCUGCCAUGGUAGCCCAGUGGCUAUGGUGUUCCGCUGCUAAGCUCUAGGUCGCAGGUUUAAUUUUGGCCACAGCGGACA